RNAcentral lists this ribosomal RNA (301 nucleotides) under uncultured bacterium. RNAcentral's name for it is "partial 16S ribosomal RNA". It matches the Rfam family "Bacterial small subunit ribosomal RNA", at positions 509 to 807 of the family's 1533-position model. The record is from RNAcentral.
CAGCAGCCGCGGGAAUACGGAGGAUCCAAGCGUUAUCCGGAAUCAUUGGGUUUAAAGGGUCCGUAGGCGGUCUUGUAAGUCAGUGGUGAAAGCCCAUCGCUCAACGGUGGAACGGCCAUUGAUACUGCAGGACUUGAAUUAUUGGGAAGUAACUAGAAUAUGUAGUGUAGCGGUGAAAUGCUUAGAGAUUACAUGGAAUACCAAUUGCGAAGGCAGGUUACUACCAAUUGAUUGACGCUGAUGGACGAAAGCGUGGGUAGCGAACAGGAUUAGAGACCCCAGUAGUCCCUGUCUCUUAUAC